GAUGAACGCUGGCGGCGUGCCUAAUACAUGCAAGUCGAGCGAACGGACGAGAAGCUUGCUUCUCUGAUGUUAGCGGCGGACGGGUGAGUAACACGUGGAUAACCUACCUAUAAAACUGGGAUAACUUCGGGAAACCGGAGCUAAUACCGGAUAAUAUUUUGAACCGCAUGGUUCAAAAGUGAAAGACGGUCUUGCUGUCACUGAUAGAUGGAUCCGCGCUGCAUUAGCGAGUUGGUAAGUUAAAGGCUUACCAAGGCAACGAUGCAUAGCCGACCGGAGGGGGUGAUCGGCCACACGGGAACUGAGACACGGUCCAGACUACUAAGGGAGGCAGCAGUAGGGAAUCUUCCGCAAUGGGCGAAAGCCUGACGGAGCAACGCCGCGUGAGUGAUGAAGGUCUUCGGAUCGUAAAACUCUGUUAUUAGGGAAGAACAUAUGUGUAAGUAACUGUGCACAUCUUGACGGUACCUAAUAAGAAAGCAACGGCUAACUACGUG
This 497-nucleotide ribosomal RNA is filed under the name uncultured bacterium. Its description in RNAcentral is "partial 16S ribosomal RNA". It matches the Rfam family "Bacterial small subunit ribosomal RNA", at positions 28 to 507 of the family's 1533-position model. The record is from RNAcentral.